Molecule: ribosomal RNA, 253 nt
Filed under: uncultured bacterium
Lineage: Bacteria
Description: partial 16S ribosomal RNA
Rfam family: Bacterial small subunit ribosomal RNA
Source: RNAcentral
UACGUAGGGAGCAAGCGUUGUCCGGAAUCAUUGGGCGUAAAGCGCGCGUAGGCGGCCCGGUAAGUCCGCUGUGAAAGUCAACGGCUCAACUGUUGAAAGCCGGUGGAUACUGUCGGGCUAGAGUACGGAAGAGGCAAGUGGAAUUCCUGGUGUAGCGGUGGAAUGCGCAGAUAUCAGGAGGAACACCUAUAGCGAAGGCAGCUUGCUGGGACGUGACUGACGCUAAGGCGCGAAAGCGUGGGGAGCGAACAGG